RNAcentral lists this ribosomal RNA (286 nucleotides) under Vibrio parahaemolyticus. RNAcentral's name for it is "partial 23S ribosomal RNA". It matches the Rfam family "Bacterial large subunit ribosomal RNA", at positions 2663 to 2925 of the family's 2925-position model. The record is from RNAcentral. Lineage: Bacteria; Pseudomonadati; Pseudomonadota; Gammaproteobacteria; Vibrionales; Vibrionaceae.
UGAAGGGGGCUGCUCCUAGUACGAGAGGACCGGAGUGGACGAACCUCUGGUGUUCGGGUUGUGUCGCCAGACGCAUUGCCCGGUAGCUAAGUUCGGAAUCGAUAACCGCUGAAAGCAUCUAAGCGGGAAGCGAGCCCUGAGAUGAGUCUUCCCUGAUACUUUAAGUAUCCUAAAGGGUUGUCGGAGACUACGACGUUGAUAGGUCAGGUGUGUAAGUGCUGUGAGGCAUUGAGCUAACUGAUACUAAUUGCCCGUGAGGCUUAACCAUACAACACCCAAGGGGUUU